UUCCAAGAGGCACUUGGACCCUUUGCGU
Molecule: non-coding RNA, 28 nt
Filed under: Rattus norvegicus (Norway rat)
Lineage: Eukaryota; Metazoa; Chordata; Mammalia; Rodentia; Muridae
Source: RNAcentral